This 872-nucleotide ribosomal RNA is filed under the name Geobacillus jurassicus. RNAcentral describes it as "bacterial SSU rRNA". It matches the Rfam family "Bacterial small subunit ribosomal RNA", at positions 31 to 883 of the family's 1533-position model. Lineage: Bacteria; Bacillati; Bacillota; Bacilli; Caryophanales; Anoxybacillaceae. The record is from RNAcentral.
GAACGCUGGCGGCGUGCCUAAUACAUGCAAGUCGAGCGGACUGAAUGGGAGCUUGCUCUUGUUCGGUCAGCGGCGGACGGGUGAGUAACACGUGGGCAACCUGCCCGCAAGACCGGGAUAACUCCGGGAAACCGGAGCUAAUACCGGAUAACACCGAAGACCGCAUGGUCUUUGGUUGAAAGGCGGCGCAAGCUGCCACUUGCGGAUGGGCCCGCGGCGCAUUAGCUAGUUGGUGAGGUAACGGCUCACCAAGGCGACGAUGCGUAGCCGGCCUGAGAGGGUGACCGGCCACACUGGGACUGAGACACGGCCCAGACUCCUACGGGAGGCAGCAGUAGGGAAUCUUCCGCAAUGGGCGAAAGCCUGACGGAGCGACGCCGCGUGAGCGAAGAAGGCCUUCGGGUCGUAAAGCUCUGUUGUGAGGGACGAAGGAGCGUCGUUCGAAGAAGGCGGCGCGGUGACGGUACCUCACGAGGAAGCCCCGGCUAACUACGUGCCAGCAGCCGCGGUAAUACGUAGGGGGCGAGCGUUGUCCGGAAUUAUUGGGCGUAAAGCGCGCGCAGGCGGUUCCUUAAGUCUGAUGUGAAAGCCCACGGCUCAACCGUGGAGGGUCAUUGGAAACUGGGGGACUUGAGUGCAGGAGAGGAGAGCGGAAUUCCACGUGUAGCGGUGAAAUGCGUAGAGAUGUGGAGGAACACCAGUGGCGAAGGCGGCUCUCUGGCCUGCAACUGACGCUGAGGCGCGAAAGCGUGGGGAGCNAACAGGAUUAGAUACCCUGGUAGUCCACGCCGUAAACGAUGAGUGCUAAGUGUUAGAGGGUNNCRCCCCUUAGUGCUGCAGCUAACGCAUUAAGCACUCCGCCUGGGGAGUAC